Molecule: ribosomal RNA, 499 nt
Filed under: uncultured bacterium
Lineage: Bacteria
Description: partial 16S ribosomal RNA
Rfam family: Bacterial small subunit ribosomal RNA
Source: RNAcentral
GACGAACGCUGGCGGCGUGCCUAAUACAUGCAAGUCGAGCGAAGUUUUUCUGGUGCUUGCACUAGAAAAACUUAGCGGCGAACGGGUGAGUAACACGUAAAGAACCUGCCUCAUAGACUGGGACAACUAUUGGAAACGAUAGCUAAUACCGGAUAACAGUAUUUCUCGCAUGAGAGAUAUUUAAAAGUUGGUUAUGCUAACACUAUGAGAUGGCUUUGCGGUGCAUUAGCUAGUUGGUGGGGUAAAGGCCCACCAAGGCGACGAUGCAUAGCCGACCUGAGAGGGUGAUCGGCCACACUGGGACUGAGACACGGCCCAGACUCCUACGGGAGGCAGCAGUAGGGAAUCUUCCACAAUGGGCGAAAGCCUGACGGAGCAACGCCGCGUGAGUGAAGAAGGAUUUCGGUUCGUAAAGCUCUGUUGUUAGGGAAGAAUGGAUAUGUAGUAACUAUACAUGUAAGAGACGGUACCUAACCAGAAAGCCACGGCUAACUACGUG